RNAcentral lists this transfer RNA (68 nucleotides) under Aleurochiton aceris. RNAcentral's name for it is "tRNA-Leu". Lineage: Eukaryota; Metazoa; Arthropoda; Insecta; Hemiptera; Aleyrodidae. The record is from RNAcentral.
AUUAAAUUAUCAUAUUCAAAUGUUUUAAAUUUAGAAUUUAAAUAAAUAGUAUUUUACUAUAUUUAAUA